This 443-nucleotide ribosomal RNA is filed under the name uncultured bacterium. RNAcentral describes it as "partial 16S ribosomal RNA". It matches the Rfam family "Bacterial small subunit ribosomal RNA", at positions 338 to 795 of the family's 1533-position model. The record is from RNAcentral.
CCUACGGGUGGCUGCAGUGGGGAAUAUUGCACAAUGGGCGAAAGCCUGAUGCAGCAACGCCGCGUGAAGGAAGAAGGGUUUCGGCUCGUAAACUUCUAUCAACAGGGACGAAAGAAAUGACGGUACCUGAAUAAGAAGCCCCGGCUAACUACGUGCCAGCAGCCGCGGUAAUACGUAGGGGGCAAGCGUUAUCCGGAAUUACUGGGUGUAAAGGGUGAGUAGGCGGCAUGGUAAGCCAGAUGUGAAAGCCUUGGGCUUAACUCAGGUGCUGCUUCUAAAACUGCUAUACUUGAGUGCAGUAGAGGAAAGUGGAAUUCCUAGUGUAGCGGUGGAAUGCGUAGAUAUUAGGAGGAACAUCAGUGGCGAAGGCGACUUUCUGGACUGUAACUGACGCUGAGGCACGAAAGUGUGGGGAGCAAACAGGAUUAGAUACCCUGGUAGUC